ACACGACUACAUUAGAUACCCCGGUAGUCCUAGCCGUAAACGAUACUCACUAGGUGUCGGCCACGGUGCGACCGUUGUCGGUGCCGUAGGGAAGCCGUGAAGCGAGCCACCUGGGAAGUACGGCCGCAAGGCUGAAACUUAAAGGAAUUGGCGGGGAGCACCACAACGGGUGGAGCUUGCGGUUUAAUUGGAUUCAACGCCGGAAAUCUUACCGGGACCGACAGCAACAUGAAGGCCAGGCUGAAGACUUUUGCCGGAUUAGCUG
RNAcentral lists this ribosomal RNA (265 nucleotides) under uncultured archaeon. RNAcentral's name for it is "partial 16S ribosomal RNA". It matches the Rfam family "Archaeal small subunit ribosomal RNA", at positions 717 to 982 of the family's 1478-position model. The record is from RNAcentral.